CAUGCAAGUCGAACGGGAUCCGACAAGCUUGCUUGUCGGUGAGAGUGGCGAACGGGUGAGUAAUGCGUGACCGACCUGCCCCAUACACCGGAAUAGCUCCUGGAAACGGGUGGUAAUGCCGGAUGCUCCAGUCCAUCGCAUGGUGGUCUGGGAAAGAUUUCAUCGGUAUGGGAUGGGGUCGCGUCCUAUCAGGUAGUCGGCGGGGUAACGGCCCACCGAGCCUACGACGGGUAGCCGGCCUGAGAGGGCGACCGGCCACAUUGGGACUGAGAUACGGCCCAGACUCCUACGGGAGGCAGCAGUGGGGAAUAUUGCACAAUGGGCGCAAGCCUGAUGCAGCGACGCCGCGUGCGGGAUGACGGCCUUCGGGUUGUAAACCGCUUUUGAUCGGGAGCAAGCCUUCGGGUGAGUGUACCUUUCGAAUAAGCACCGGCUAACUACGUGCCAGCAGCCGCGGUAAUACGUAGGGUGCAAGCGUUAUCCGGAUUAUUGGGCGUAAAGGGCUCGUAGGCGGUUCGACGCGUCCCGGUUGUGAAAAGUCCCAUGGGGCUAAACGGGUUGAGAUCCGGCCCCGGGGUAACAGGGCGGGGCUUGAGGUCGGGUAGGGGGAGGCUGGAAUUCCCGGUGGUAAUCGGUGGAAAUGUGUAGAUUAUCGGGAAGAACACCAAUUGGCGAGGCAGGUCUAUGGGCCGUCACUGUCGCUGAGGAGCGAAAGCGUGGGGAGCGAACAGGAUUAGAUACCCUGGUAGCCACGCGGUAAACGGUGGAUGCUGGAUGUGGGGCCCAUUCCACGGGUUCCGUGUCGGAGCUAACGCGUUAAGCAUCCCGCCUGGGGAGUACGGCCGCAAGGCUAAAACUCAAAGAAAUUGACGGGGGCCCGCACAAGCGGCGGAGCAUGCGGAUUAAUUCGAUGCAACGCGAAGAACCUUACCUGGGCUUGACAUGUUCCCGACAGCCCCAGAGAUGGGGCCUCCCUUCGGGGCGGGUUCACAGGUGGUGCAUGGUCGUCGUCAGCUCGUGUCGUGAGAUGUUGGGUUAAGUCCCGCAACGAGCGCAACCCUCGCCCUGUGUUGCCAGCACGUCAUGGUGGGAACUCACGGGGGACCGCCGGGGUCAACUCGGAGGAAGGUGGGGAUGACGUCAGAUCAUCAUGCCCCUUACGUCCAGGGCUUCACGCAUGCUACAAUGGCCGGUACAACGGGAUGCGACAUGGCGACAUGGAGCGGAUCCCUUAAAACCGGUCUCAGUUCGGAUUGGAGUCUGCAACCCGACUCCAUGAAGGCGGAGUCGCUAGUAAUCGCGGAUCAGCAACGCCGCGGUGAAUGCGUUCCCGGGCCUUGUACACACCGCCCGUCAAGUCAUGAAAGUGGGCAGCACCCGAAGCCGGUGG
RNAcentral lists this ribosomal RNA (1390 nucleotides) under Bifidobacterium angulatum. Its description in RNAcentral is "16S ribosomal RNA". It matches the Rfam family "Bacterial small subunit ribosomal RNA". The record is from RNAcentral. Lineage: Bacteria; Bacillati; Actinomycetota; Actinomycetes; Bifidobacteriales; Bifidobacteriaceae.